RNAcentral lists this ribosomal RNA (1243 nucleotides) under metagenome. RNAcentral's name for it is "bacterial LSU rRNA". It matches the Rfam family "Bacterial large subunit ribosomal RNA", at positions 1564 to 2817 of the family's 2925-position model. The record is from RNAcentral.
UGAAUACGAGAUGCUACGGCGUCGAAGCAGUCUAUGUCAUACUUCCAAGAAAAGCUUGCACUGUCAUAAACAAAUAAUGCCUGUACCAUAACCGACACAGGUGGGUAGGUAGAGUAUACUAAGGGGCGCGAGAUAACUCUCUCUAAGGAACUCGGCAAAAUGACUCCGUAACUUCGGGAGAAGGAGUGCCUUAUUUAUAAGGUUGCAAUAACAAGAUCCAAGCAACUGUUUACCAAAAACACAGGUCUCCGCUAAGUCGUAAGACGAUGUAUGGGGGCUGACGCCUGCCCAGUGCCAGAAGGUUAAAGAAGUUGGUUAGCAUCCGCGAAGCUGAUAACUGAAGCCCUGGUGAACGGCGGCCGUAACAAUAACGGUCCUAAGGUAGCGAAAUUCCUUGUCGGGUAAGUUCCGACCCGCACGAAAGGCGUAAUGAUUUGGAUACUGUCUCGGAGAGGGGCUCGGUGAAAUAGACUUGUCUGUGAAGAUGCGGACUACCUGCACCAGGACAGAAAGACCCUAUGAAGCUUUACUGUAACCUGAAAUUGAAAUUGGACUUUACUUGCGCAGUAUAGGUGGGAGGCGUUGAGAAUAUUCUUGCGGGAUUAUUGGAGCCAUCAGUGAGAUACCACUCUUGUAAUGUUAGAUUUCUAACUUUGUAUCAUUAUCUGGUCAAAGAACAGUUUCAGGCGGGCAGUUUGACUGGGGCGGUCGCCUCCUAAACGGUAACGGAGGCGCACAAAGGUUUCCUCUGAACGGGUAGAAAUCGUAUCUAGAGUGUAAAGGCAUAAGGAAGCUUGACUGUGAGACCUACAAGUCGAGCAGGGACGAAAGUCGGUCUUAGUGAUCUGACGGUGCUGAGUGGAAAGGCCGUCACUCAACGGAUAAAAGUUACUCUAGGAUAACAGGCUGAUCUCCCCCAAGAGUUCACAUCGACGGGGAGGUUUGGCACCUCGAUGUCGGCUCAUCGCAUCCUGGGGCGGUAGUACGUCCCAAGGGUUGGGCUGUUCGCCCAUGAAAGCGGUACGCGAGCUGGGUUCAGAACGUCGUGAGACAGUUCGGUCCAUAUCCGGUGUAGGCGUUAGAAUAUUGAGAGGAGCCUUCUUUAGUACGAGAGGACCGAGAAGGACAUACCUCUGGUGUACCAGUUAUCGUGCCAACGGUAAACGCUGGGUAGCUAUGUGUGGAGUGGAUAACCGCUGAAAGCAUCUAAGUGGGAAGCCCACCUCAAGAUAAGUAUUCUCAU